CACGCCGUAACCGGUGGGCACUAGGUGUGGGCAACAUUCCACGUUGUCCGUGCCGCAGCUAACGCAUUAAGUGCCCCGCCUGGGGAGUACGGCCGCAAGGCUAAAACACAAAGGAAUUGACGGGGGCCCGCACAAGCGGCGGAGCAUGUGGCUUAAUUCGACGCAACGCGAAGACCCUUACCAAGG
RNAcentral lists this ribosomal RNA (186 nucleotides) under Streptomyces sp. RNAcentral's name for it is "partial 16S ribosomal RNA". It matches the Rfam family "Bacterial small subunit ribosomal RNA", at positions 796 to 979 of the family's 1533-position model. Lineage: Bacteria; Bacillati; Actinomycetota; Actinomycetes; Kitasatosporales; Streptomycetaceae. The record is from RNAcentral.